CUACGGGUGGCAGCAGUGAGGAAUAUUGCACAAUGGGGGGAACCCUGAUGCAGCAACGCCGCGUGGAGGAUGACGCAUUUCGGUGUGUAAACUCCUUUUAUAUGUCAAGAAAAUGACGGUAGCAUAUGAAUAAGCACCGGCUAACUCCGUGCCAGCAGCCGCGGUAAUACGGAGGGUGCAAGCGUUACUCGGAAUCACUGGGCGUAAAGGACGCGUAGGCGGGUUGGAAAGUCAGGUGUGAAAUCCUACAGCUUAACUGUAGAACGGCACUUGAAACUUCUAAGCUAGAGUAUGGGAGGGGGAGAUGGAAUUAGUGGUGUAGGGGUAAGAUCCGUAGAUAUCACUAGGAAUACCUAAAGCGAAGGCGAUCUCCUGGAACAUUACUGACGCUAAGGCGUGAAAGCGUGGGGAGCAAACAGGAUUAGAUACCCUCGUAGUC
RNAcentral lists this ribosomal RNA (439 nucleotides) under uncultured bacterium. RNAcentral's name for it is "partial 16S ribosomal RNA". It matches the Rfam family "Bacterial small subunit ribosomal RNA", at positions 339 to 795 of the family's 1533-position model. The record is from RNAcentral.